Molecule: ribosomal RNA, 467 nt
Filed under: uncultured bacterium
Lineage: Bacteria
Description: partial 16S ribosomal RNA
Rfam family: Bacterial small subunit ribosomal RNA
Source: RNAcentral
GACGAACGCUGGCGGCGUGCUUAACACAUGCCAGUCGAACGGAAAGGCCCUGCUUUUGUGGGGUGCUCGAGUGGCGAACGGGUGAGUAACACGUGAGUAACCUGCCCUUGACUUUGGGAUAACUUCAGGAAACUGGGGCUAAUACCGGAUAGGAGCUCCUGCUGCAUGGUGGGGGUUGGAAAGUUUCGGCGGUUGGGGAUGGACUCGCGGCUUAUCAGCUUGUUGGUGGGGUAGUGGCUUACCAAGGCUUUGACGGGUAGCCGGCCUGAGAGGGGGACCGGCCCCAUAGGAUCGAAGGUGGGGCCCGGACCCAACCGGGAGGGAGGGGGGGGGAAUAGAGCAAAAAGGGCGGAGGCCUGAAGGAGGAACGCCGGGUGCGGGAAAACGGCCUUCGGGUUGAAACCCACUUUCCGCUGUAACGAAGCGGAAGUGACGGAAAUGGGUAAAAAAGCCCGGGCAAAUACGGG